Cajanus cajan (pigeon pea) is the source of this 240-nucleotide non-coding RNA. NCBI's taxonomy places the organism in Eukaryota, Viridiplantae, Streptophyta, Magnoliopsida, Fabales, Fabaceae. The record is from RefSeq and is a predicted model, not a curated record.
UGUCAUAGUAGCACGCAUUCCUCGCUCAGUUUCGUUUCUCCGUUCUGAGUCUUAGUUUGACGCACAACCUUCAAAUACUUCUUCAAUAUUGUUUAUUCACAGAUGGCAAAAAUGCACUCACAGAUCUCGUAUUUGAACGUUCAUCCGUUUGUCAAUAGGUAUAUAUGAGUUUUUCAGCUUAAUCUACAUUGCAGCUUGAUCACUAGGUAUAUACGAAUCUAUAUCACUUUUAUUCUAUUA